UUUAUGAGUGCCUGCGUCUGCCUCAGUGUUCUCAUAACUUACAAAGAGUUUUUUUUUUUUUUUUCACACGUCUCCCCUCCUAUACCGGCUGGCAUGGCGUGCGCCACACUCACAAACCAGACCUGUACUAAACAAGCACACCCACAAAAGGGGUUGCAGGCUGGGUACUGUGACUGACUGGGAAAACUUGUCUGGCAGAUGGGUGGGAAAAUAAGGAGGUAUGGGGAGUAUGGGCGAAAUGUUUCGAGGGGUACAAAUCACACUAGAAAUGCUCAACAGAAAAUGUUAAUUCCCUAAAAAAAAAGCUCAGCGAAACCAAACAAAUGAAGAUGCAAAACAAAGGCGGAAGAUUUCAACUGGGCACAACAGCUGCAGUUUCUGACUUUUUUUAUUUAUCUUGUAGGAAAGCGAAUGUUAUGUCCUUUCUUUGAUGCCCGCUUUUAUGUGGAUUUUUUUCUACUUACGACUGGAGCUGGCAGCUUUUUCCUGUUGUGGAGGAUUUCUACAUGAGUCAGUUCAAUGAUUGCAGCUGGCUGGGCGAGAGAAGGAAGCGCAGAAGGAGAGAGAGGCUAUGUCUCAAGGCAUGUGUGUGGGUUCCAGUCAGUCUCUCCCAGUGCCCUGUGAUGCCACCACUCAACCCAGCCAAGACCAGAUCAGAGCAUCCAGGCUGUAUCCAGGGAGACGAGAAGCAGACAGUGUUGUAUAAACUGCUGAGAUAGCAAAAGACAAAGAAAUUUCUGCGGCAAUCUUGAAGAAAAGAAGCCAGUGAGGACAGCGCUGGAAAAAGAACCGUCCAUUGCAAUGAGGACAUAUUGAAAAAAGAAAAUCUGAUUCUUCCUCAGGUCGUCAAGCAAGAAAAAUUGCUGAAAUGUAAUAUUUUUGUGACUUUCACCACACAUCUAUGUUCAUUGUGAUCUGGAUGAUGUAAGUGUCAGCAUUUCUUAAUACUUUGACACUGCCAUGCUUAUGGUUAUAGAUUUAUGGCAGUGCCAAGAACACUUAAUUGAACUCAAAAACAGUUGUACUUGUCUAUUUCAAUAUCAUUUUAAAUUGACUCUGUUGCAGCAAAUGCCCGUUUGUGUGUUAAGGACAGAGGGACAAAGGAAACGUCAUUAUGUAAUUCAGCAACUACCCUCAUUGCAUUGAUGCGCGGACCCACACAUGUACACGGACGGGCUGUUUGUCUUUGUGUAAAACUUUUUCUAUACACUCUCAAACUGUUUUUCAUCUCCGUAAUCUCAGCUCAUAACUUUUCUAAUUUGACCUAAAUAUUCUGUCUGCAUUUUUUAAAUGUAGUCGUUUACAAUUCGUCCCACAUAACAGCAUUUACACUAAAUCAGUUUUACGUAUGUUAUUCGUGUGGUAAUUUAAUUUUGUUUCAGCAUUUCACAAGUAUUAUGUGCCUUACACUAUACUUUUUUGAUCGCUUAUGAAUGUGUAAAAAGUAUACUUCAGAACUAUAAGUUUGUCAUAAUGACUUGAGAUCAGGGUCCUGUCAUGUUAAUAUGCAUACUCAUGAAAUUUUCAGACUUUUUUUUUUGGUAAAAAUAACAGCUAAACAACUGAAUCUGUUUGUAUUUUGCUCCUUACAACCGGAAUAAAACAACAUUUAGUUAUUAUUAUUAUUAUUGGUAUGGAUUCUUUUAUACUUAAAAUUUAAUAUGAACACUCUAAAAUAUUUGAGAUUCAUAGUACUAGUACUAAAUGGAAAUUGACCUAAGGUUGGCACUCAAGGUGCAAGAAUACAGACACUUGUUGAAUUACUUACUGCCUACCACUUUCAAAAGGUAACAGUAUGUUAUGUUUUUAACCUGUAUGUUAUGCUAGAAUGUACUUCUCUCAUCCAAAAACAGACCUGGAGUGUUGCUUUAAUUUUUUCAUGCAUGUUUGAGAAAUCUUUGAAUCUCCCGUGGCAACCAUUCAGGGGUGCCUAAACGCUUGCUCCUUCAAGGCACCAUCUAUUUCCACAAAGGUCUGCAGCCAAGCUUCUGGUUCACAUAGUACCCCAUGACCUGCCCCACAAACCUCUGCCAGACUAGCAACAGCAGCAAUUAGUGAUGACUGGUGAAACUGGACAUCUGCUGAGCUUAUCAUACGAACCACUUCUCAGUCCAACACUCCUAAGAAUGGUUGUAAACAACAUAAUGGAUGAACACUGUUGUGAUAACAUUCUAAAGGCGGAGUUUCGGGAAGAGUAGGAGCUUCUUCAAGAAGCAAAUUUCUAUCAAGUUGUAUACAACAUUUUUAUAAUUGAAUGUAUCAUAGCAACUGGAUUGUACUAUAAAAUGGCAAAAAUCUUUAUGUCUUGGCUAAUACACAGCCAGGUUCCACAAUGGUUCUUGUUUUAUUGUGUUCUGUUUUAAGUUAUUUUAGCAUUUAUGUUAUGUUUUGAUAUUUUAUCUCAUGAUGUUUUAUUGUCUUUUAAGCUGAUUUAUGUUGUUAAAGCCCCAUCUUGGGACAUGCAAUACAAAUUAGCCAAGGGUAUAAAUGUAAUAGCGUCCAGUAUUUGUUUUCAUGUAACACUUAUCCCCAUGCAAAUUUCAAUAAAAGAAAUCAUCUUGUCA
This is a long non-coding RNA of Xiphophorus couchianus (Monterrey platyfish), 2564 nucleotides long. RefSeq lists it as uncharacterized. NCBI's taxonomy places the organism in Eukaryota, Metazoa, Chordata, Actinopteri, Cyprinodontiformes, Poeciliidae. The transcript has 2 exons. The record is from RefSeq and is a predicted model, not a curated record.